AUUGAACGCUGGCGGCAGGCCUAACACAUGCAAGUCGAACGAGUGGCGGACGGGUGAGUAAUGUCUGGGAAACUGCCUGAUGGAUGGGGAUAACUACUGGAAACGGUAGCUAAUACCGCAUACCAUUCCAUUUGCCCUGAUGGAAUUCGCUAGUUGGUGGGGUAACGGCUCACAAAGUCGACGAUCCCUAGCUGGUCUGAGAGGAUGACCAGCCACACUGGAACGGAGACACGGUCCAGACUCCUACGGGAGGCAGCAGUGGGGAAUAUUGCACAAUGGGCGCAAGCCUGAUGCAGCAAUGCCGCGUGUAUGAUGAAGGCCUUCGGGUUGUAAAGUACUUUCAGCGGGGAGGCGUUACCCGCAGAAGAAGCACCGGCUAACUCCGUGCCAGCAGCCGCGGUAAUUC
Molecule: ribosomal RNA, 406 nt
Filed under: uncultured bacterium
Lineage: Bacteria
Description: partial 16S ribosomal RNA
Rfam family: Bacterial small subunit ribosomal RNA
Source: RNAcentral